UGAGACACCAAAGAAGGCUGAACCAAGCAGAAAGAGACCUGCAGAAUCUGCCACAAAAACCCCUGUUCCUGACAAGAAGACUAAAUUAAUCACACCUCAAAAGACUGAAGGCAAGAAAGGGGUUGUUCACACUGCUACUCCUCACCCUUCAAAGCAGGCUCGGAAAACACCUGCUAACAGCAGCCUAUCAAAGCAGCAAACUCAAAAAUCAGGCAGGUCAUUCUCAUGCAAGUCUUGCAACAGGUCAUUUACCACGGAAGGUGGAUUGCAAGCUCAUACAAAGGCUAAGCACAGUGCUACUGCAUGAAUGGUAUGGUUGAAAUAGCUUUCUGCAUUG
Long non-coding RNA from Pistacia vera, 337 nucleotides. RefSeq lists it as uncharacterized. The transcript has 4 exons. The record is from RefSeq and is a predicted model, not a curated record. NCBI's taxonomy places the organism in Eukaryota, Viridiplantae, Streptophyta, Magnoliopsida, Sapindales, Anacardiaceae.